AGCCAAAACAUAUUCAGUGCCAACCAAAUGGCUUGCAAGCACAAGACUACCCUAAGAUUACCAGAACAUCACCUGUUAACCACUAAACAUUUAAUAACAUGGCAUUUAUUCAUUUAAUUCCAUAAAAGGACAUAAUUACAAGAUACCAGCAAAAGUGCUCAAAAAAAUCUACAAAAAUUACAGAAGCACAAGCAUAGUAUCUUGACCUUACCAC
RNAcentral lists this long non-coding RNA (214 nucleotides) under Sorghum bicolor (sorghum). RNAcentral describes it as "long non-coding RNA (SBIC_LNC016080)". The record is from RNAcentral. Lineage: Eukaryota; Viridiplantae; Streptophyta; Magnoliopsida; Poales; Poaceae.